RNAcentral lists this long non-coding RNA (1109 nucleotides) under Homo sapiens (human). RNAcentral's name for it is "KCNQ1 downstream neighbor (KCNQ1DN)". Lineage: Eukaryota; Metazoa; Chordata; Mammalia; Primates; Hominidae. The record is from RNAcentral.
GCUGCCCGCACGCCCCGACGGGAGCUGCGCCCAGCCUCCCCUCUGGAGUCGGCGCUCCAGGCUGCUGCCCGGCCGGUGGCCAAGGCCCCAGCACCACCGUCCCUCCUGCAGGGCAUCCAGCACCUACCCUUCCACUGGGCGGCUCCUGGUUCUGGUCCCGGCUGGCUCACUCAGGCUGCCUUUGGACCAGAUUCUUGAACUUUUCCACCAAGGAUGUUGCUGCUGUUUGUAGCGUCGGAUCCUGGAAAAUCGCUGUGUUGGGGAGCAGCAGGCUCUCCCUUGCUCCCCCAGGGCCUGGGAAAAUCAACCCACCUCUGCCCCCCGACCCCAGGGCUGUAACCUGGUGUCUGGUAGCCCCACUGUGAUAAACCGAAGCCCAGCACAGUUUGGGACUCGCCCCGAGUUGACUUAUGCAGCCCCCAGAACAGAGGCUGAAACCCGGCGCAUCCUGGUGAAGCCACACCCAGCCGGCCUGGUCCCAGGCCCCGGGCACGGGGUCCCCUCCACUCCCAUCUGCUUCCCUUUCAGAGCCGGGGCUGAGUCGGCAGGGACGCAGGCUCAGGGCCCUGGAUUCCCGCUUUCUGGACACUUGCGUGCAUGCCCAGCACCAGCUCGCCCUUCUGAGAAAGCAAUCCCUCCUCAGAGGGGAGAAGCCGUGGCUGUGAUGGGCAGGAAGUGGUCAGGACCCACUGCCGAGCACCAACUCCCCAUGCCACCACCAGGGGUGCGCCUGGACUCCUGGAAAGGGGUCGCGUCAGGGUGCAGCCCAUCAAAGGCUUCCCAAGAGGCAAGAGGCAAGGAGAAGUGUCCUACUUUAAACGGCCAGCCUCAGUGGUCGGCCCUGUUCACUCUGCCACCUCAGAGAGAGUGAACCCAGCAGAGGUGUGACGGGAGGCUGGGGAGAGACCCCAGCACCUUGAGCACACAGGAGCCAGGAGGAGCCCAACAGAGCAGCAGGGGCUGGGGUCUUCUCCUGAAGCCUGACUCCAUGGGACCCCAAAGAAGCAGAUGGAAAACUGAAAAAGAAAACCCCUCAAGUGAGCCACUGGAAAGAAAGCAAAACAAGAGAAAAUAAAUGAGUUGUUUGACAUAAAAAAAAAAAAAAAAAA